CCUACGGGAGGCAGCAGUGAGGAAUAUUGGUCAAUGGCCGUAAGGCUGAACCAGCCAAGUCGCGUGAAGGAAGAAGGAUCUAUGGUUUGUAAACUUCUUUUAUAGGGGAAUAAGGGUAUCCACGUGUGGAUAUUUGCAUGUACCCUAUGUAUAAGCGUCGGCUAACUCCGUGCCAUCAGCCGCGGUAAUAGGGAGGAUGCGAGCGUUAUCCGGAUUUAUUGGGUUUAAAGGGUGCGUAGGUUGUUUUUAAGUCAGCGGUGAAAGUUUGUGGCUCAACCAUAAAAUUGCCGUUGAAACUGGAAGACUUGAGUGUGUUUGAGGGAGGCGGAAUGCGUGGUGUAGCGGUGAAAUGCAUAGAGAUGACGAAGAACUCCGAUUGCGAAGGUAGCUUCUUAAGCAAUAACUGACACUGAAGCACGAAAGCGUGGGGAUCAAACAGGAUUAGAUACCCUUGUAGUC
Molecule: ribosomal RNA, 459 nt
Filed under: uncultured bacterium
Lineage: Bacteria
Description: partial 16S ribosomal RNA
Rfam family: Bacterial small subunit ribosomal RNA
Source: RNAcentral